Non-coding RNA from Doryrhamphus excisus (bluestripe pipefish), 825 nucleotides. The record is from RefSeq and is a predicted model, not a curated record. Lineage: Eukaryota; Metazoa; Chordata; Actinopteri; Syngnathiformes; Syngnathidae.
GUAGGUAAUAAAACGACAGAGGAAGAAUAAAUCCUGAGGGUGAAUAUACGUCAAGUCAUCGUGAAUUUUCUUCCUUAUUCUGUACCACAGGAAGAACAAAUACUGAGAGUGAAUAUACGUCAAGUCAUCGUGGAUUGUCUUCCUUAUGAAUGAAUUCUGUACCACAGGAAGAAUAAAUCCUGAGGGUGAAUAUACGUCAAGUCAUUGUGGAUUGUCUUCCUUAUUCUGUACCACAGGUUCGUACAAAGUAGAGAUAAUUUAUACUAACGGCUGUCAAGAGUUUAGAAAUUUGCUAGAGUAAACAGCUGAAAUAUAAAAUGUGUUGUAGAGCAUAUGAACAUAAGCGAAAUGGCUAAUGCUAGCCAGCUUUAAUGUACAGUUAAUAGCAUGAAGCAGGCUAAUUGAAAAAUGUGAACUGUGUCUGGAAACAAAUUGUUGAUGUAAUCAUCUUAUGGUAUCUGAAGUGUUGUUAUUUUUUAGAAGAAUAAAUCCUGAGGGUGAAUAUACGUCAAGUCAUCGUGGAUUGUCUUCAUUAUGAAUGAAUGAAUGAAUGAAUGAAUUCUGUACCACAGGUUAGUACAAAGUAGAGAUAAUUUAUAUUUUAACGGCUGUAAAAAGUUUAGAAAGUUGCUAGAGUAAACAGUUGACUGCAAAACGUUUGUUAUAAAAUGUGUUGUAGAGCAUUUGAACGUAAGCGAAAUGGCUAAUGCUAGCUAGCUUUAAUGUACAGUUAAUAGCAUGAAGCAGGCUAAUUGAAAAAUGUGAAAUGUGUCUGGAAAUAAAUUGGUAAUUGUUGAUGUAUACAUCUUAUGAUAUCUGAAGUGU